AGCCGUGGUCCCGCAAGUGGAAGUAAACCGCUCUGCAGGGUGAACACGCACCCAGUGCCGCCCAGGAAGCUGCCAGUCAGGAUUGGGCGCAAUCUCUGGAAGGAACUCCAGGAGACAGUGUGGCCUCCACAGCAUUAGGCAGCCAAGGAGAUGCAAACACGUCUGCUGUAGAUGCUGGUGAUGAGACCCCCUCUUCCCAGCCAGGGCCUGCUGGGUAAGAGUGGCAUUUCCGUGGAUGACUUUAUCCCUCAGGAUCGGGGCGUGUAGAUUUAAUGGCUGGCUUCCUUCUUACAGUUUCUUCUCAGAGCACACUCAAGAGAGGCCAUCUGUCCCUUGAGAGGCUGUUGACCAAAAGAGGCUGAAGAAGGAUGUGGAGCCCAGCUGCAGCGGGACCAGCCUGGGGCCUGAUGAGAGCUUGGCCCAGAACCCCCAAGUUCAUCAUUCACAAUGAUGCCUCAGAAACCCUCCCAGAGCCCCUCCACCCUCCGACGGAUGUCACCCUGAAGCCAGCCGCAGAAGCUGUGCGGGGCGAGCACAGCAACACCGGCCCCACGUCCCUCAGCUGAGUCAUCCUGUCAGCACUGGGGGCCCAAGAUCUCCUCGACUGCUGCACUCCUACUGCUUCUGCUCCAGGGGGAACAGGAGCACGGGUGCCGCCUGCGGGAGCAGGUGGAGAAGAACGGUGAGCUGAAGAGGGGCAGCCGCCGACAACCAGGUGCACAAGCUGCAGGAGGAGCUGGACGAGCUGAAGGGAGGGGCUCCCUGCCUUAGCAGCCUGCUGCCCCCCGCCGAGGUCAAACACCAAGGGUAGAGGUAGUCAAGAGAUCAAGUCUAAUCUACCUACGGGUGUGGCAGGCUUACCUAUGGAUGUUCAAGCCAGACAUUGCCAGAAGAACUACAUCUCUUCACCCAUAGAAAAAUGAAUGAUGUGACCAUUUGGUGCAGGACAACAGCAUUAUGUUCACCAGUCUCUGUACUGUAUGUUACUGCACAGCAUGGACUGUAGGAAAAAGCCCAGAGGAGCAAUGAAGACAAAGAAGACACGACACCUGCAAAAAGUCAGUGGAGUAUUUCUACACAACAAACCUUCCAGGUGAGUGACGGUCAGUAUCUUCCACUGCUCCAGCUCUCGCAAGAAACCUAGUACCUUCCCAGGGUAAGCUGGAGGACCACGGCCCACUAGUCCACUCCCCGCCCAGGGCCUGUUUGUGCAGGGUGACUGCCAUCAAGCAGACAAUGGACUCAGGAUGGGGCCUGUGUCUUUGGGGAGGCUGGUAGAGAGGCACAAAGUCGAACACCAGCUAAGGGCACACACCUGAGAGGUGGAGUUCCAGGUGGAGACUCAAAAUGUACCAAGACACUGCAUGAAGGAAGCUACUCGACCUCCCUGAGCCUCAGUGUCCCCCCCUGUAAAAUGGGAAUCACAGGCCUACUUCACAGAGCUGUUGGGGAAGAUACAUAAAAGUGCCUGUGACAGUCAGUGUCCACAUUAUUAACAAAGUCGUCUCCAACUUCAGAAUAAUCGAUGAAAAGAGUAAUGUUGAUGAGACCAAAGAUGAGAUGCCCAGCUUCAUAACAGCCCCAGCAGCAUGAGAAUGAGAGGAGCUCCGAGUAAGCAGGGUUCUUCACAGCUCCACUGGAGAGGAUGAACAUGGGCUACACCAGUAUAAGCGGCUGUUGUACAGUGACUCGUGUAGUGAGGGUGGGUCCCUAAAGACACUGUGAAAUACAGUUACACACAGUGGCUCCUAGGAAACAACUAAAAGCAAUCAACGCAGCAGAUAGGAAUAGGAAGGCGGCGAGCAGAGGAGGGUCAGAGCCACAAAAUCUGAAGGAAGACACUGAACCACAAGA
Long non-coding RNA from Diceros bicornis minor, 1854 nucleotides. RefSeq lists it as uncharacterized. The record is from RefSeq and is a predicted model, not a curated record. NCBI's taxonomy places the organism in Eukaryota, Metazoa, Chordata, Mammalia, Perissodactyla, Rhinocerotidae. The transcript is spliced from 3 exons.